This 13870-nucleotide long non-coding RNA is filed under the name Mytilus galloprovincialis (Mediterranean mussel). The record is from RNAcentral. Lineage: Eukaryota; Metazoa; Mollusca; Bivalvia; Mytilida; Mytilidae.
AUAUCUAUAUAUAUUUGGAGUAAUUUUUUCACUUAAAAGAUAUUCAAGUCGCACGGGUGAGGCAUUGUUAUUUCAACUUUAAUUUUAAAAGCAGCAUUCAUUAUUUUUUUCACAAUUUAGGCACAAGCACUUGUCUCAAGAUUUUCUAUUAUCAUGUAUAAUUUCUAUCGUCGUGUCAGAUAAAAUUGAGAAAGGAAAUGGGGAAUGUGUCAAGCGAAAACAACCUGACCAUAGAGCAGACAAUGGCCAAAGGCCACCAAUGGGUCUUCAAUGUAGCAAGAAACUCCCGCACCCGUAGUCAUCUUUCCGCUGUUUUCGUAUGUCAUAUGUUUUCAUAUGAUCCACAUUUCAAGUCUAAAGUGGAAAGGAUAUUAUAUUUGGAAAGUACUGAAAGGCUUUCAAAAGAAAAACAAGAAGUAUUUGACAUAAAAAAAAAUUGACUAAUGAAUGAAACGCAGCAAAUUCGAUUUAAAACUACAAAUUAAAACAAAUACCUUAUAUUAGGUUUUUUUCCUGUCAAAUUAGUUUUGAAUUUUUUGCCUCCAUGAAUACAGGAAAAAAUUAUUAUGUUAAAUCUUAAAAUCCCCUUUAAUUUUUGUGUUUCCAUUUCUUCUUUUAUCCUCUGAGUUUCUUUUAUACAAUUUAUAAAAUUAAUCAACUCAUCAUGAUCAUGCUCAUAGUUUGGAACAAUUUGUUUCAAUUUAUGAUAACUUUGAGUGAAUGUCUUCCCCACAUGUAUCAUAUCACGCUCCUCUGUUUUAAGAAUAUUUUUUAAUGGAGAAAAACUGUUCACUUACCUAUAUAUAAAUAUUUAUAAAACUUAUCAUGCUUAUGAGUAGUUUUAAUCAAUUUAUUCACUAAUUGCGACAAAUUUCUUAUAUAUUUCAAGUUUCAUUUCGAUCCCGUGCCAUUUUCUUGUAAAACCGGAUGUGGGUAUGCGUAGCCUACGAACGGCAAUUUGACUGUUCGUGGGUACACUGCCUUUUAUAAAAAUGACCUAUUUGCCAUUUUUAUUUAAUGUCAAAAAUAUACAUCACUAGAAUAGGUGUUGAAAAAAUUUCUGAAGGGUUAAAAUAAGGUCGAGGUAUGUUUUUAGACCGUCAGACACCGGAUCUUCAAGACAUGUGACUGGCAUAUUUUUUUUGGCCGUUUAAUUACAAACCAGCGAAUUAAAAUUAACAGGGUUCUUAUAUCAUGUAUAUAAAAUGGUUGUUCAAACUCCAUUUAUUUAAUAUUCUAUUGACAAUUUUUUUUAUAUAUCCUUAAUAUAUACUACAUCAACUAAAAGCUAUUAACAAGUGAGCUUUAGUACUGAAAAGAAUUAAAUAUUUUUUUUUGUGAUUCAAGCAAGGCCUUUGAAAAUAGUGGAAUUAAUUACUUUUGGAGUGUCAAGAACUCGUUGGAAGUACUUGAUAAAUUGCAUGCUUAUAUUGGUGAUUUUAAAUCUGUUCAAAGUUUUGAUUUUUCUACCCUGUAUACCACAUUGCCUCACAUUCUCAUUAAGAAAAAAUUCACACGCCUAAUUAAAUGGGCAUUUCAAAAGUCAGAAUGUGAAUAUAUAUGUUCAAACUCUUUUAGGUCAUUUUUUAGUAGCAAUAAACAAAAAAAACUAUGUCAAUUGGACAUGCUUUGAUACUAUAUAUGCCCUUGAAUUUUUACUAGAUAACAUUUUUGUUCGCUUUGGGGAUUCUGUAUAUCAUCAGAUUAUCGGAAUUCCAAUGGGGACUAACUGUGCACCACUUAUUGCGGACCUGUUUUUGUAUUGCUAUGAGUUACAAUUUAUGACAAAAAUAAGCAAAGACCCAUCGAAACAACAUCUGAUAAACAAAUUUAAUAAUACUUUUAGAUAUUUGGUCCAUUUGGAUGAUAUUUUGGCUCUCAAUAAUGACGACUUCAGUAUGUAUAUUAAAGAAAUUUAUCCUGUUGAACUUACUUUAAAUAAAGCUAAUACUAACAAUGACCACUGCCCUUUCCUCGAUCUUGAUAUCUAUAUCACUAACGGAAAGCUGAAUACUAAAAUUUAUGAUAAAAGAGAUGAUUUUUCAUUUCCUAUCAUUAAUUAUCCAUUUUUAGAUGGUGACGUUCCCUUGUCACCAUCUUACGGUGUUUAUAUAUCUCAACUUGUACGAUUCGCUUGUGUAUGUAACAAUGUUUUAGAUUUUAACGAGAGAAAUUUAUGUAUUACUGAAAAAUUAUUACACCAGGGUUUUCAAUAUCACAAACUAGUCAAAACAUUUACUAAGUUUUAUCAUCGGUAUUAGGACAUCAUUCGUAAAUAUAGCUCAACAUGCAGACUUCUUAUACGUUCAGGUAUUUCACAUCCAAUUUUUUAUGGAAAUAUUCUUUAUAAAGCACAAAGGUGUCAGUAUUCACCUCAAAAACUAACAAAACCUUUGAAUAGACUUAUUAAGAAGGGAUAUAGUUACGAUACUGUUGUCAGGUCAUUAAAGAUUGCAUAUUUUGGCGUUAAUAUUGAUUCACUUAUAGGGUCUUUGCAUCGGAACUAAACACAUUUAUUCAAAAACCAGUUGUUGGCAUGACACGGGUUAUGUUCUUCUCAUAUAUGUUAUGAUGGUAUGAUACUAAACCCUAACGGGAAGGAUUGUGCCUGAUGUUCAUAUGAUGAAAUCAUAAUCUUUCAGUCAGUUUAAUUGAAGUCUGGAGCUGGCAUGUCAGUUAACUGCUAGUAGUCUGCUGUUAUUUAUGUAUUAUUGUCAUUUUGUUUAUUUUCUUUGGUUACAUCUUCUGACAUCAGACUCGGACUUCUCUUGAACUGAAUUUUAAUGUGCAUAUUGUUAUGCGUUUACUUUUCUACAUUGGCUAGGGGUAUAGGGGGAGGGUUGAGAUCUCACAAACAUGUUUAACCCGCCGCAUUUUUGCGCCUGUCCCAAGUCAGGAGCCUUUGGCCUUUGUUAGUCUUGUAUUAUUAUUUUAAUUUUAGUUUCUUGUGUACAAUUUGGAAAUUAGUAUGGCGUUCAUUAUCACUGAACUAGUAUAUAUUUAUUUAGGGGCCAGCUGAAGGACGCCUCCGGGUGCGGGAAUUCCUCGCUACAUUGAAGACCUGUUGGUGACCUUCUGCUGUUGUUUUUUUUCUAUGGUCGGGUUGUUGUCUCUUUGGCACAUUCCCCAUUUCCAUUCUCAAUUUUAAUUACUAGAACCACGACUUUAGAAAAUACACAUUUUCCGGAUUUUAUAUUCAUUUCCUGUCCGUGUACUGAUCUAGUUUUUACUUCAUACGAAAACAUAUGACACCGUUUUUUGACAUGAUUUUCGCAAAAUAAUUAGAAACAGUAAAAAAUCGUAGUGAGCCUUGACAAAAAAAUCUAAAUACCUAAAAACAUUCAACAGAACAUGCUUUAAAAAUUUGAGCUCACAAGUGAAUAAAAACUCAACUGUAAGCAGUGAAAAUUGUUAAUAGUGCUUAAACACAUCACACUACUGACUAGGAUAUACAUGUAUAACACAAGGUACUUAACUUCUAUUUCUGAAAAAAGUCACCUGGUCUCGAAAUUUGUUUUAUUACAAUUUCUUGGUUGUCAACUCAACUAAAACUUGUUCUACUGUGAAUCAAAAUUGAUUUAUCUACACAAUACCUUGUUUCUGGUAAUUCUUUCACGGGAAAAGAUUGUCAAUUUCGCACACCUUUAUGACGUCAUUUACUAUAAGACCUAUUGGUGUCCUUCUGUUGUUGUCUAUUCUAUGGUCAGGUUGUUGUCUUUUUGAUACAUUCCCCAUUUCCAUUCUCAAUUUUAUAUAAAUAAUUUAUGUUCCUUGAGUAUACAAUGUAUGUUAUCUUGAUUUUUUGUAAGUAUGAGGGAGGGUGACCAUCUUAUAUUUUAAUUUUCCAAAUAUUUUGUGCAGUUUAAAAUCAAACUUUUUCAUCCAUUUGCUCCACAUGUGUUGGAAGUGAUGAUGCAUACAUUUUGGUCAUGCAGUGCUGGAAGUCACAUGACAGAUUCAAAUAAAAAUGGUAUCCCGGAACUGCCGUAUUGACUUGUCACAAUGGUGUGUAACUCCCCUACCUUGAUGUCUGAUUCAUUCGUAGUGUAACAGGAGUGAAAUUUUUACUGGCUUUGCCAUCUUCCCGUUGUCUGUCCUAGUUCUGGGAUAUUAGAUAAACUAUAAAACACUUAAAUAUGAAGAAGAUGUUUAUUUAAAGACAUAUAAAUGGUUGAACAUCAGUUAAGAUACAAUUAAUUUACAGUGGUGGGUGGUCUACUUGUCAUUCAAUAAAGGUUCCAUAUUUGCCAAACGAUAUGAGCAUCUGGUUAUUUCAAAUCCUAAGUCAUUGUGUAAGUUGUAGACUACCUUGAAACCAGUGAGUAACAUCAUACCUAUAGUUCCUAGGGCCAACAAGCUUAACCCAGGAAGAUGUCAGGCAUGUGUAAGAACAGGAAGUCCUGACAAGAAUAAUUACAUGGCUGGUCUCGUGAGAAAGAGUUAAGCAGGGUUCUCGUUAAGACGUGUAUACGUGUCCUGAACGCAUGAAAAUCUAGCUGGAUGCUUCAUUUUUUAAACCUGUGAGUCCCUGGGACGCGUCCUGAUUGUAUCCCCUUUGUCAUGUUUGUCCCAAAAACAUUGUUUUGUCUAGAAGAUUCCUGAUUGUUGAUAUUGUUUUAACAAGAAACUUUACGGAAGUCGAUGUUGAAAAAUUAAUGUCCUGCGUAGAUGAAUAUUCUUGUUGCCUUAUAACAGGUGAUUGUUAUAAGUUUAUUUACGCUGUCUGCAUGGAUACACCCAAUGACCAUGAACAAUCAUGAUCAAGUUUUUUGUCAAAUUGAAAAGUAAAAAUUGUUUGCCGACUUUUUUUGUAAUAUAAAUGCUUGAUAUAAAUCAUUAAAAGCAGUAUAACCCAGAUAUUAAAUGAAUUCCUAGACCACAUGUUUACUUUGUUGACAAACAUGUCACAUGUUCACUUUUGGCGGGGGAAAAAUACUGGGGAAAACCUAAAUAACAGUCAACCCUUUCUGGAUAUUUAUAGACAUUUAAAAUAAACAGCUGAAAUAGGAGUGCCAGGAAAAUAGUUAAACUUGGUAUAUCAUGUAUAUAUAAUUCAAUCUAAACCAAUUUUAUUGGGAAAAGGGUGUAAAGGGCAAGGGGUUAGAUUGUAAAGUUAUUUAUUUUUUUUGCCAUUUUAGUCCAAUGAUAACUUAAUCAUUACUGAACCAAAUUUCAGUAUAUGGUAUAGAAAUUCCCUGCUUUAGACCCAAUCUUUUUUUUACGGCACACUGGCUUUGGCAAACCAACAUUUUUUCAAGUUGAUAGACCCGGAAAGAAGUCUGUUAUAUAUUUUGUAAUGACUAAUUACUAUUUUAAAGAGAUCAUAUUUUUUUGAUUAAUAAAAACUGUGAAUCCAACACGCAUCGUUUCAGUUUUGUUUCGUCAUAUUUCAUUAUAUUUUCAGACACAAAAAAUUACAUGCAUUCUGGACUCAAAAAUUCCUAGUCAGAACCUGUUAAGGAACUAUGAAUAAUACUAACAUUAACCUAUUAAAUAGAAUAAUCAUGUAAACAAAGUGACCACCAUUACAGUAGCAAGCCUACCCAAGUAUGUCAACAGGAAAUAUUUCGUCUACCACCAACACCCAUUUGGAAAAGGGAGUAAAUGAUUGAUUAUUAAAAGAAUAUAUUAUAAAAAAAAAAAAUUGGACGAAUAGAACUUAUCAUCCAGAGAGUAAAUUUGUAAAAGAUUCCGUGAAAACAAAUCUAACAAGUGUCAUUUGAGGUAUGUCUAAUGAGUUAAGGUUUUCUAUUUUUAGACUCAUUUUAUCCCAUUCCAGCAAUGUCAUUCAGACUAUCUCUGCAGAGUUCGCGAAAAAAAGUGGUGGUCCUUAGGAUUUUACUACCAAAUUAAUAGUGAGGACCAGCAGAUUUUCAUCAAGGACCACCAAGAAAAAAAAGAUUUUGCGAACUCUGUCUCUGGAUUUACCACAUGAAAUGAGAUAAGAUCAGAUUACUCUGAGAAACAUUUAUUUUUAGCUCACCUGACCUGAAAGGUCAAGUGAGCUUUUCUCAUCACUUGGCGUCCAGCGUCCGUAAACUUUGAGGUUAAUUUGUUGAUCAGGCCAAGAUCUAUCUGCCCUGAAAUUUUCAGACGAAUCGGACAACCUGUUGUUGGGUUGCUGCCCCUGAAUUGGUAAUUUUAAGGAAAUUUUGCAGUUUUUGGUUAUUAUCUUGAAUACUAUUAUAGAUAGAGAUAAACUGUAAAAAGCAAUAAUGUUCAGCAAAAUAAGACCUACAAUUAAGUCAACAUGACCAAAAUUGUUGACUGCUUAAGGAGUUAUUGCCCUUUAUAGUCAAUUUUAACAACUUUAUUGUCAUUUUUUGUAACUUGUACAAAAAUCUUCUUCUCUGAAACUACUGGGGCAAAUUUAAACUAAAUUGGCCACAAUCAUAAUGGUGAUGUAUAGUUUAAAAAAUGUGUCCGAUAAGUCAACAUGACCAAAAUUGUCAGAGAACCUGUUAAGGAGUUAUAGUCCUUUAUAGUCAAUACUGAACAACUUUUCGUCAUUUUUGUAACUUGUAAAAAAAUGUUCUUUUCUAAAACUAUGGGCAAAAUUGAACAAAACUUGGCCACAAUCAUUUCUAGGGUAUCUAUUUUAAAAAGUGUCUAAUGACCCCGCCUACCAACCAAGAUGGCCGACAUCAGUAAAAAGGGUAACAGGUGAGCGACACAGGCUCUUGAGAGCCUCUAGUUUAGCAAUGGUCCUUCCCAGAAAAGUUUACCAUACGUGAACCAAGAUAUAAAUAAAACAGAGUGGGAAGAUACCUUUUACUUCGUGACUUAUGUUUCCAAUCAUGAUUUAAAGGCGAAAAAAGUUACGGUUGAGUGGGGUUGACAUAAUUAGGUUGACCUGCACAGUUAGUCACUAAUCCGAUGCCCCAGAAUAGUAAAAUUUCCUCUCGGACUAGUGAGAUUUUGCAAAACUUAGAUGGUUGCAUCUCCAAUGGAAAUUUGAAUUGAGAUUAUAAUGAACAUAUCUUGAGGGAAAGAAUUUUUUUGGGGGUUAAAGGGUGGGGGAGGAGAAAAAAAUUGGGUGGGGAGGGGAUUUUUUAGAAAUUAAAAAGAAAAUUUCUUCAUUAACAUAAAAAAUAGGGGUCAAUACAUCUUUUUUUCAUGUUGGGGUCAAUAUGCAACAUAGUGUAUUGCACAAAAUAAAAAAAGGGGGGGAUUUAUUUUUAUUUUUGGGAGGGGGCAAUUCUCAACAGCAUAGUGUUGCACUAAAGCAAAAAAUUUAAUAUAAAUUCAAAUCAUAUAACCAAUUUUAAGUUCUUUGACUACAGUUAUUCAAUUUCUGUGUCAGAAACCUAUGGUGUGUCAAAUAUUUAAUUACAAUCCAAAUUCAGACCUGUAUCAAGCGCGAAUAUUGUGUCCAUUUUUGUCCCAACGGUUCAGGGUUGGACCUCUGCCGUUGUAUCAAGCUGUGCUGGAUGAACAAUUUAUUAGUACCUAGAAUAUGUUUACAAAUGUUGACAUGAACCUUUUUAAAAGGAGUUGUGUUCUUAUAAAGUCAAUUUUCUAUGCGUUUGUUUUGUGGAUUUUAGUCUGCCUUUUGGUUUAUAUUAACAAUGAUUUGUAUCCAUGUAUGAUAUUUCUGCAUUACAUGUCAAAAUUGGCUUAAUAAGUUCUAGAGAAUCGCAGAGAUUUUGGGAGAUUUACCCAAAAAGCUCCAUGUGAUUUUAUUGGAAAAAAGAGCUUUCCUAGCUUUUUAGGAUAAAUCUGUUGAGUUCACACUUUGAUUUUUGUUAUUUUUCAUUAAGUUCUUGGCUGAAUGAUCAUUGUUUUUAUUUUCUUUGUAUUUAAACACAACCAGUAAUUUGAGAAUAUGAUAAGGUCAUCUGCAAACAAAAGACUUCCUAUAUUUAGAAUUUAAUACUUUCAGGGGUUUGAAUCUUAAAUGAGUCUUUAUUGUCAAUUAUCAUUUGCAAAUAAUAUAUAUAUAUAUCUCAAGGUUAUAAAAUUGAUCCUAAUAGUAAUAAGUAAAUAAUUACGGACCCACCCCUAGGAUUUGCAGAACCUCAUUAAUGAUCUAGAUAUUGACCCUUAUCAGCUGAUUGUCUCCAGCAGCUGUUUAUAGAUGAAUGAGAUAGUAGAUUGAUUUCCUGUAUUGAUCUCUAAUGGAUUUGUUAAGUGUUUAAAAGUGACAUUUCUGGUUAACUGAACAGUCUAACAGUCUAACUCAUAAGUAGAUUUUUGUUAGGAUUUCCACCAACAUUUACAGACAGGUAGCUCUAAUAAGUUUUUAAAUAGAUUUAGGAUGCAUUUAUUAGUAACAUUUUUUUCUUAGUAAUUCUUUGUUUUUAGAUGUAUUCUGAUUCUUUUGUUAUAGAUCUCCUGCAUUGUAUAAUCAUAUACAUGUACAUACAUAUCAUACAAUCUUUACUGGUGUUACAAGUAUCAACAUUUGGAUAAGUUUAUUGUUGAUAUCUUCAAUUAUUAAGUGAAAGAAACUUUGUGUUUAAAUGUCUUUUAGAAUUAAAUAUCUGUUGUGAGUCUGUUUAAACAAUAUCAAACAAUAUCAAUUCAAAUAAUUACUAAUGAUAAAAAAGAUAAAAAAGAUGAAAUAAAGACUUUUUAGUUAUAUGCAGAAGUCACAAUUAAUCGUUUUUUAUACGACCACAAAAUUUGAAAUUUUUCGUCGUAUAUUGCUAUCACGUUGGCGUCGUCGUCUGCGUCGUCGUAUUCGUCGUCGUCCGAAUACUUUUAGUUUUCGCACUCUAACUUUAGUAAAAGUGAAUAGAAAUCUAUGAAAUUUUAACAUAAGGUUUAUGACCACAAAAGGAAGGUUGGGAUUGAUUUUGGGAGUUUUGGUCCCAACAUUUUAGGAAUAAGGGGCCAAAAAGGGCCCAAAUAAGCAUUUUCUUGGUUUUCGCACUAUAACUUUAGUUUAAGUUAAUAGAAAUCUAUGAAAUUUUGACACAAGGUUUAUGACCACAAAAGAAAGGUUGGGAUUGAUUUUGGGAGUUUUGGUUCCAACAGUUUAGGAAUUAGGGGCAAAAAAAGGGCCCAAAUAAGCAUUAUUCUUGGUUUUCGCACAAUAACUUUAGUUUAAGUAAAUAGAAAUCUAUGAAAUUUAAACACAAGGUUUAUGACCAUAAAAGGAAGGUUGGUAUUGAUUUUGGGAGUUUUGGUCCCAACAGUUUAGGAAUAAAGGGCCCAAAGGGUCCAAAUUAAACUUUGUUUGAUUUCAUCAAAAAUUGAAUAAUUGGGGUUCUUUGGUAUGCCGAAUCUAACUGUGUAUGCAGAUUCUUAAUUUUUGGUCCCGUUUUCAAAUUGGUCUACAUUAAGGUCCAAAGGGUCCAAAAUUAAACUUAGUUUGAUUUUAACAAAAAUUGAAUCCUGGGGGUUGUUUGAUAUGCUGAAUUUAGAAAUGUACUUAGAUUUUUAAUUAUUGGCCUAGUUUUCAAGUUGGUCCAAAUGGGGGUCCAAAAUUAAACUUUGUUCAUCAAAAAUUGAAUAAAUGGGUUCUUUGAUAUGCCAAAUCUAACUGUGUAUGUAGAUUCUUAAUUUUUGGUCCAGUUUUCAAAUGGUCUACAUUAAGGUCCAAAGGGUCCAAAAUUAAACUAAGUUUGAUUUUAACAAAAAAUUAAAUUCUUGGGCUUAUUUGAUAUGCUUUAUCUAAAUAUGUACUUUGAUUUUUGAUUAUGGGCCCAGUUUUCAAGUUGGUCCAAAUCAGGAUUCCAUAUCAAGUAUUGUGCAAUAGCAAGAAAUUUUCAAUUGCACAGUAUUGCACAAUAGCAAGAAAUAUAUCUAAUUGCACAAUAUUGUGCAAUAGCAAUUAAUUUUCAAUUGGAGUUAUCUUUCUUUGUAUAGAAUAGAAGUUGAUAAUAUAUGUUGGAAAUUUGCCAGACAUGACUAUGAUGUCAUUUUCUAUUUUUAUUUGCCAAUAACUUUAUGUAAAUAACUUCAUUGGAAAUUUGCCAAUAUAAAAUGUUGCUGAUGAAGCUUUUUUUCCUUAUCUUAUCUAAAAUGUUUUUAGAUAAUGUAUGUUGGACAUUUGCCAGACAUGACUAUGAUGUCAUUUUCUAUUUUUAUUUGCCAAUAACUUUAUGUAAAUAACUUCAUUGGAAAUUUGCCAAUAUAAAAUGUUGUUGAUGAAGUUUUUUUUAUUGUUUUAUACAAUAAACAAUGUAUAUUCACUUUUACUACCAACCAAUCUUUACCAUUCAGUGAUAACAAGCACUUUAUUUUACAUUUUAAUAUUUUAUGAUGUAUUUAAAAGAGUAGUUAUUGUUGCAAACUCCAUUAGAAAUUUGAAUUGAUAUCAGUUUUGGAAAAAGGGAAACGGGGAUGUGAAAAAAAAGGGGGGGGGGUUAAAUUUUUCUCAUUUCAGAUUUCAUAAAUAAAAAGAAAAUUUCUUCAAACAUUUUUUUGAGAGGAUUAAUAUUCAACAGCAUAGUGAAUUGCUCAGGCACUAAAAUUUUGUUUGCAGUUUUCCGACUGUACCUUCAGACUGAAGGGUCGGUAGGUAGGAAAAAUAUUUUAUUUUAUCAGCCAAAAUACAGUUUAAACAAGCAGUUACGUACACUAAACCAAGUUUUUUGUGAAGAAAAAAAAACAUUUUAAAACAACAAACACUGGACAUGCUGAAAACCAACAUCAAAUGAACAGGCAUUUUCAGAUAAAAACUUUUUGACCAAAACUGAAAGCUUAACAUAGUGUCAUUAUUCAAUUUAUGACAUAAAAUAUGGUAAAUUAUUAAUACUGGAACACUUAUAAACAAGGAAUGUCAUUAUGACUAGAACUGUUUUAAAGAAAUAUAUUCAGACAUGAAUGCUUCUUGACUAGAAUGUUUUCAUGAGUAGAGUUUUUCAUCAGAAAAUUGUAGAUAAUAACGAUUUAGACAAGUAUAAAGAGUGUAUUUUUAAAAAAAAAAAAAAUAACCAUGAAUCUUCGUCAAUUGAAAAAAAAGGCAACUUGAAAAAAAAGUAUUAAGACAUUCGACUGUUUUCAUAUUCUAAUAAUUUUAAUUAUAUGUGUAAGGUUAUUUUUGCAGGCUUUAAUGAAAACCAAAGAAAUCUAAACUUGGUGUGAAAUCCUUUCACCCCAUUAAAGUAAAUGAUGUACUGAAAUGUUUUAUGCUAAAAAAAUUGGCAGCAUAGCUCCUAAGGACAUGUUUUAUUGAAUUCCCAGGCACACAGUUUGGGUAUAUUUAAUUUGUAAGAAAGAAAUAUUGCAAUGAGUGGGCAGCCCCCUAUCCUAAGGAGCAUACUCAUUCAUCAAAUAGAGUUAAUAUUGAGAGAGUAUAUUAUUUUCAAGCUAACCAUUCAUUUCUCUACCUUUUUGUUAGUAGGGUUGCUUCUUUUGAUUUGCAUGAUCUAUAUCCAUUAACAUUCAAAUGAGCCUUCCUCCGUACAGGCGUGUUUCAGAUACCAUGAAGAUUUAAGUCACGGAGGAGUUGGUUUCAUCUUGUUCGUCUUCACAACGAUUUUAGAAAUAGCAUACUUCAACUGCUGUCGAAUUAUUUAACCACUGAAAUUGGUUCCAUAAGUCAGGCUCCACAGAUUCUGUACCUGAUUGUUGAGAACAGAAUGUAUCGUGCAGUUAGACUAUCGCGCAUCAUCGUUAUGAUAUAUCACACUCAUUACAGUGCCUGAAUUGAUAAACAGUUUACUAUAAACUUUUUUGUUUGUUAUUUGUCUUAAAUUGACACGAGACGACAGCGAAAGUAUGACUUCAUGGAACCUGUACACAAUUUCAUGUGCUUUAUAUAAAUGCACACAUGAACGCUUGACGGGAAGCUAAGAAAAACCGAACUUGAAAUCAUAUGACCCAGACUUUAAAUCAUUUCGGAAAGACCAAAGUUUCGGAUCGCGUCAAUAAAGUAUUAAAAAAAAUUUUUCAAUUUAAGCAAUAAAUUUCACCGUCGGGAGGAUUUUCAAAGGGUCGGUCGUAAACUGCAAACAAACAAUAUUAAUUUAGCCUCAAAGGCAAAAAAAAUUUUAAGUUCAUUAGACCAUAUCAUUCUGUGUCAGAAACCUAGCUGUGUCAACAUUUAAUUUUAGAUUUAAAAAGUUUGAAGAAGAAAUCUUUAUUGAUUUGUAAAUCUUGACAUUUUUGUGUAAAAAAACAUAGAAUGUCAAAAAAUUAUCACAUCCAAAUUCAGAGCUGAUCACGCUAGAAUGUUUUUCCAUACUUGCCCAACUGUUCAGGUUCGACCUCUGCGGUCGUAAGCUGCGCCCUGUGGAGCACCUGGUUUCAUAUAGUUCCUUUUUGUCCUGAAGUUUUCAGAGAUAUAUUAUCUGCCUCUAGAAUUGAAGUAACUUUUGACCCUUGGGAUUUCUUGAAGUCACUAAAAGUUUGUUUUACCAAAGUUUUAUUACUUAUUUGUUUUCAUUACUAAAUAGAUCUAGUUAUCAGUACUGGACAGUAGUUUAAACUUUUGGAUAAAGAAGAAGAAUUAUUUUCAAAAAUAUAUCAAUAAUUAUGCAUUCAUGAGUGAUUUUAUAGUAAUUUUACAUCAAACGAUUUGAAAAGGCAAGGACAUAUAUCAUGUAUAUUAGUUAUAUCAUAAUGUCCUUGGAAAAUUGAUGUAUUAAGUAUGCUCAUUUGACAAGGUUAAAUAACAAUAAAAAUGUAAGUGUCCCUGACCAGCUGAAUACCUGAUUUAUACCUGAUUUAUAGAUGUUCAACGUCUAUAUGUACUUUCUAUGAUAUCUAUUACAGAUAUAGGUAUAGGUAAGACAAUCUCAGGUGUUUUAUCCAUACAACAGAAAAUAUCAGUCCGUACAGGAAAAGUAGUUGAAGGUCUGUUAUUUGUUCAGUACAGUUUUAAGGGAAGAUUUUACAUCUUUUUUUAUUCAGUAUUUUGUUUCUAAAAGUUUGAAUUUGAAAUUAAGAAUAUAACAUUUUAACAAAAGUCAUUGAUCAUGUUUAUUAGGUAAUUUCUUCAAUAUAUCUGACUUUUAACAUGAUACUUUGAUAUUGGUUGGUGUAAAAUAUUAAUCUGUGUUAGGAAUGAUUGUAUAUUGCAGUAUAACAAAUAUGAAUGUCAGUUACGUAUUGAUUUAGGAAUUGAUUUAUUUCCAGGAAGAAAACUUAUGGUGUGCACUGUUUUCUAACAAUUCAUAUUACCAAAAGUCACGUCUAAAAGUCAUUUGUUCUAAAUAUUGUUGAAAUGGUUAUUCAGAAACUAUUAAUAUGUUUUCUGAAAAGAAAAUGAAAUCAUUUUGAUAUGAGUGAAAAAUGUUGAAAAAUACAUGUGUUAGAGCCAAUCUUUAUAUAGUUGGUGUUAUGAAAAGGAUAAAAUAAGUAUUAACUUAUCUGUAAAAUUAUUUUCUUUUGAUAACAUUGCUUCAGCAAUUAAAACAGAUUUUUUUUGUGAAGUUUUUCUGAGAACUUAAUGUAUUUUUAUAAGAAGUUUUCCUAUAUAAAUUAAAUCAAAGUGCUUAUUCCUUUUAUUGACUCAACAUUCUAAAGAUGUCUAUCACUGAAAUUGAAUGGAAAGACAUUUUGUUUACACUGCACUUGCUUCAUCAUCAACUUUCUGCUGGCAAUUGGCUGAAGUCUUUAAUUUUGUGAAUAUGAAACCUGUAUUUUAUACACUACUUCCUAGAAAUAAUCGAGUGUAUAUAUAACUGAAUUAAUAUUUAAAUGUUAUACAAAUGCAUUGUUAUAGGAUAGUUGAUACCAGGAACUUUAAAGCUUUGAAUAUGAAAUAUUUCUUGUUGAAUAUGGAGGUGAUUUAACUAACAACCCCAUUAUUAUUUUACAGCAGUAAAGUAUGUCUGCCAAAGCUAUAAGUGAAGCCAAGGGGAAGGAGCUACUCAACAAAUUCCUCAAUGGAUCUGUAAAGAAUAAGUUUGCUAUAGUUAAAGAAGAUACUGACUUAGAAUCCCUGACUUCACAACAUUCAUGGCUAGAAUCAGAG